CAGCCGUAAACUAUGCGCGUUAGGUGUAUCGGUGACCACGAGUUACCGAGGUGCCGAAGGGAAUCCGUGAAACGUGCCGCCUGGGAAGUACGGUCGCAAGGCUGAAACUUAAAGGAAUUGGCGGGGGAGCACCACAACAGGUGGAGCCUGCGGUUUAAUUGGACUCAACGCCGGGAAGCUCACCGGAUAGGACAGCAGAAUGAUUGCCGGGCUGAAGACCCUGCAUGACUAGCUGAGAGGAGGUGCAUGGCGUAGACGUCU
RNAcentral lists this ribosomal RNA (261 nucleotides) under uncultured archaeon. RNAcentral describes it as "partial 16S ribosomal RNA". It matches the Rfam family "Archaeal small subunit ribosomal RNA", at positions 748 to 1009 of the family's 1478-position model. The record is from RNAcentral.